Molecule: ribosomal RNA, 450 nt
Filed under: uncultured bacterium
Lineage: Bacteria
Description: partial 16S ribosomal RNA
Rfam family: Bacterial small subunit ribosomal RNA
Source: RNAcentral
AGCGAACGCUGGCGGCAGGCUUAACACAUGCAAGUCGAACGCCCGUAGCAAUACGGGAGUGGCAGACGGGUGAGUAACGCGUGGGAACAUGCCCUUUGGUUCGGAAUAACUCAGGGAAACUUGAGCUAAUACCGGAUAAGCCCGAGAGGGGAAAGAUUUAUCGCCGAAGGAUUGGCCCGCGUCCGAUUAGCUAGUUGGUGAGGUAAUGGCUCACCAAGGCGACGAUCGGUAGCUGGUCUGAGAGGAUGAUCAGCCGCACUGGGACUGAGACACGGCCCAGACUCCUACGGGAGGCAGCAGUGGGGAAUAUUGGACAAUGGGGGCAACCCUGAUCCAGCCAUGCCGCGUGAGUGAUGAAGGCCUAGGGUUGUAAAGCUCUUUCGGCGGGGACGAUAAUGACGGUACCCGCAGAAGAAGCCCCGGCUAACUUCGUGCCAGCCGCCGCAGUAA